RNAcentral lists this ribosomal RNA (800 nucleotides) under uncultured Rhizophagus. RNAcentral describes it as "SSU rRNA". It matches the Rfam family "Eukaryotic small subunit ribosomal RNA", at positions 314 to 1114 of the family's 1831-position model. The record is from RNAcentral. Lineage: Eukaryota; Fungi; Glomeromycota; Glomeromycetes; Glomerales; Glomeraceae.
AUCAACUUUCGAUGGUAGGAUAGAGGCCUACCAUGGUGGUAACGGGUAACGGGGUGUUAGGGCACGACACCGGAGAGGGAGCCUGAGAAACGGCUACCACAUCCAAGGAUGGCAGCAGGCGCGCAAAUUACCCAAUCCCGACACGGGGAGGUAGUGACAAUAAAUAACAAUACGGGGUUCUUUAGGAUCUCGUAAUUGGAAUGAGUACAAUUUAAAUCUCUUAACGAGGAACAAUUGGAGGGCAAGUCUGGUGCCAGCAGCCGCGGUAAUUCCAGCUCCAAUAGCGUAUAUUAAAGUUGUUGCAGUUAAAAAGCUCGUAGUUGAAUUUCGGGGUUAGUAGGUUGGUCAUGCCUCUGGUAUGUACUGGUCUCACUGAUUCCUCCUUCCUGAUGAGCCGUAAUGCCAUUAAUUUGGUGUUGCGGGGAAUUUGGACUGUUACUUUGAAAAAAUUAGAGUGUUUAAAGCAAGCUAACGCUUGAAUACAUUAGCAUGGAAUAAUGAAAUAGGACGUUCGAUCCUAUUUUGUUGGUUUCUAGGAUUGACGUAAUGAUCAAUAGGGAUAGUUGGGGGCAUUAGUAUUCAAUUGUCAGAGGUGAAAUUCUUGGAUUUAUUGAAGACUAACUACUGCGAAAGCAUUUGCCAAGGAUAUUUUCAUUAAUCAAGAACGAAAGUUAGGGGAUCGAAGACGAUCAGAUACCGUCGUAGUCUUAACCAUAAACUAUGCCGACUAGGGGAUCGGAUGAUGUUAAUUUUUUAAUGACUCAUUCGGCGCCUUACGGGAAACCAAAGUGUUUGGGUUC